CGGGUGAGUAAUAUAUAGUUAAUGUGCCUCGAAGACCGGGAUAGCCAUUGGAAACGAUGAUUAAUACUGGAUAUACCUAUCUAACAUAAGUUAGAUAGGGAAAUGUUUUUUCGCUUCGAGAUCAGACUAUAUCCCAUCAGUUAGUUGGUAGUGUAAGAGACUACCAAGGCAAUGACGGGUAGCGGGUUUGAGAGGAUGAUCCGCCACACUGGUACUGAGACACGGACCAG
RNAcentral lists this ribosomal RNA (230 nucleotides) under uncultured bacterium. RNAcentral describes it as "partial 16S ribosomal RNA". It matches the Rfam family "Bacterial small subunit ribosomal RNA", at positions 103 to 334 of the family's 1533-position model. The record is from RNAcentral.